Molecule: non-coding RNA, 27 nt
Filed under: Cricetulus griseus (Chinese hamster)
Lineage: Eukaryota; Metazoa; Chordata; Mammalia; Rodentia; Cricetidae
Source: RNAcentral
CGUUUAGAAAGAAGGCAGCAAACUGAA